RNAcentral lists this ribosomal RNA (789 nucleotides) under uncultured bacterium. RNAcentral's name for it is "bacterial SSU rRNA". It matches the Rfam family "Bacterial small subunit ribosomal RNA", at positions 8 to 796 of the family's 1533-position model. The record is from RNAcentral.
AGAGUUUGAUCCUGGCUCAGGAUGAACGCUGGCGGCGUGCCUAACACAUGCAAGUCGAGCGGUAUAUACUUWAWCAAAUCUUCGGAAGAGWGAYGGUAUAGAGAGCGGCGGACGGGUGAGUAACGCGUAGGCAACCUGCCCCAUACAGAGGGAUAGCCUCGGGAAACCGGGAUUAAAACCUCAUAACGCCAAGAGUUCACAUGGACUUUUGGCCAAAGAUUUAUCGGUAUGGGAUGGGCCUGCGUCUGAUUAGCUAGUUGGUGGGGUAACGGCCUACCAAGGCAACGAUCAGUAGCCGACCUGAGAGGGUAAUCGGCCACAUUGGAACUGAGACACGGUCCAAACUCCUACGGGAGGCAGCAGUGGGGAAUAUUGCACAAUGGGCGAAAGCCUGAUGCAGCAACGCCGCGUGAGCGAUGAAGGCCUUUGGGUCGUAAAGCUCUGUCCUUGGGGAAGAAAAAAAUGACGGUACCCUUGGAGGAAGCCCCGGCUAACUACGUGCCAGCAGCCGCGGUAAUACGUAGGGGGCAAGCGUUAUCCGGAAUUAUUGGGCGUAAAGAGUGCGUAGGUGGUUUUGUAAGCGCGRGGUGAAAGGCUAUGGCUCAACCAUAGUAAGCCUUGCGAACUGCAAGACUUGAGUGCAGGAGAGGAAAGUGGAAUUCCUAGUGUAGCGGUGAAAUGCGUAGAUAUUAGGAGGAACACCAGUGGCGAAGGCGACUUUCUGGACUGUAACUGACACUGAGGCACGAAAGCGUGGGGAGCAAACAGGAUUAGAUACCCUGGUAGUCC